This 376-nucleotide ribosomal RNA is filed under the name uncultured organism. Its description in RNAcentral is "bacterial SSU rRNA". It matches the Rfam family "Bacterial small subunit ribosomal RNA", at positions 526 to 896 of the family's 1533-position model. The record is from RNAcentral.
CAGAGGUCCCAAGCGUUGUUCGGAUUCACGUGGGCGUAAAGGGUGCGUAGGUGGCGAGGUAAGUCGGAUGUGAAAUCUCCAAGCUCAACUUGGAAAUGGCAUUGGAAACUACCUUGCUAGAGGUUUGGAGGGGGGACUGGAAUUCUCGGUGUAGCAGUGAAAUGCGUAGAUAUCGAGAGGAACACCAGUGGCGAAGGCGAGUCCCUGGACAACACCUGACACUGAGGCAACGAAAGCUAGGGGGAGCAAAACGAGGAUUAGACUACCCUGGUAGUCCUAGCCGUAAACGGUGCUUGCUUGCUGUAAAGGAAUCGACCCCUUUGUGGCGAAGCCAACGCGUUAAGCAAGCCGCCUGGGAAGUACGGUCGCAAGAUUA